GAUGAACGCUGGCGGCGUGCCUAAUACAUGCAAGUCGAGCGAACGGACGAGAAGCUUGCUUCUCUGAUGUUAGCGGCGGACGGGUGAGUAACACGUGGAUACCUACCUAUAAGACUGGGAUAACUUCGGGAAACCGGAGCUAAUACCGGAUGAUAUUUUGAACCGCAUGGUUCAAAAGUGAAAGACGGUCUUGCUGUCACUUAUAGAUGGAUCCGCGCUGCAUUAGCUAGUUGGUAAGGUAACGGCAUACCAAGGCAACGAUGCAUAGCCGACCUGAGAGGGAGGUCGGGCACACUGGAACUGAGACACGGUCCAGACUCCUACGGGAGGCAGCAGUAGGGAAUCUUCCGCGAUGGGCGAAAGCCUGACGGAGCAACGCCGCGUGAGUGAUGAAGGUCUUCGGAUCGUAAAGCUCUGUUAGUAGGGGGGAACAAAUGUGUAAGUAACUGUGCACAUCUUGACGGUACCUAAUCAGAAAGCCACGGCUAACUACGUG
RNAcentral lists this ribosomal RNA (496 nucleotides) under uncultured bacterium. Its description in RNAcentral is "partial 16S ribosomal RNA". It matches the Rfam family "Bacterial small subunit ribosomal RNA", at positions 28 to 507 of the family's 1533-position model. The record is from RNAcentral.